Molecule: long non-coding RNA, 207 nt
Filed under: Coffea arabica (coffee)
Lineage: Eukaryota; Viridiplantae; Streptophyta; Magnoliopsida; Gentianales; Rubiaceae
Description: long non-coding RNA (CARA_LNC006826)
Source: RNAcentral
AAAUCCUUCCUGUCUGAGAUGCGUCAGACUCCUAUGGUAGACACUUCUGAUGAUGAUGAGGACGAACAAAUACCCGAAGCGCUACUUAGGAGGUUUGAACGACUACAGUUGCAGCACGAUUUGCCACACCGGAGAGUGUAUUGGAGAUGUGGUUGCUCUACUACCCCGCGCGAUAAGGGCAAGAGACAUGUUCAUGGGUGAUUAUAA